Molecule: ribosomal RNA, 380 nt
Filed under: uncultured bacterium
Lineage: Bacteria
Description: bacterial SSU rRNA
Rfam family: Bacterial small subunit ribosomal RNA
Source: RNAcentral
GACGAACGCUGGCGGCGUGCUUAACACAUGCAGGUCGAGCGGUAAGGCCCUUUCGGGGGUACACGAGCGGCGAACGGGUGAGUAACACGUGGGUGACCUGCCCUCAGCUCUGGGAUAAGCCUGGGAAACCGGGUCUAAUACUGGAUAUGACUCCAUGACGCAUGUUGUGGGGUGGAAAGCCUUGUGCGGCUGAGGAUGGGCCCGCGGCCUAUCAGCUUGUUGGUGGGGUGANGGCCUACCAAGGCGACGACGGGUAGCCGGCCUGAGAGGGCGACCGGCCACACUGGGACUGAGACACCGGCCCAGACUCCGUACGGGAGGCAGCAGGUGGGGAAUCUUGCGCAAGUGGGACGAAAGCUUGACGCAGCGACGCCGCGUGA